GAGCAGCCCAGGGAGAGUCUCUGCGUCCUCCAGCCCCCGCUUCCCUUCAUGUCGGAGGUCCUAAGCCCGCAGCGAAGUCCGCAAAGAGCUUUCCCCGACGCCUACGAGACCGGAAGUGCCUGGGCCCAGGUGGAGGAAGGACCCGCGUGGCCGCCUCCGCGCUCUCCCUGGGGAGCACCAUUGAAGGAGAAUUAGACAAACUGGAGUCUACUGAGAUGAGGCUGUUGGGAAUGGCCCUGGUACCACAUCCUGAGCAGGGAUGGCCGAUGGAAUGGGGAGAAGACUCAGGUGGGGCUUGAGUGUGUCCUCUGAUGACUGAAGAGCCUUGGGAGCAAGCAUCCUUCCUGCUACUGUGUGUUUGCUGGUUCCAAUGAUACAUAAUUUGUGCUUUUCGUAAUUAAAGUAUUAUCCUGUA
RNAcentral lists this long non-coding RNA (415 nucleotides) under Homo sapiens (human). RNAcentral's name for it is "long intergenic non-protein coding RNA 3086". The record is from RNAcentral. Lineage: Eukaryota; Metazoa; Chordata; Mammalia; Primates; Hominidae.